AGUGGUGUAGCUCAGUGGUAGAGCACUUGCCUAGCAUGUGCAAGGCCCUGGGUUUUAUCUCCAGUAUCACAA
RNAcentral lists this transfer RNA (72 nucleotides) under Marmota marmota marmota (Alpine marmot). It matches the Rfam family "tRNA". From Rfam's summary of the family: Transfer RNA (tRNA) molecules are approximately 80 nucleotides in length. Their secondary structure includes four short double-helical elements and three loops (D, anti-codon, and T loops). Further hydrogen bonds mediate the characteristic L-shaped molecular structure. tRNAs have two regions of fundamental functional importance: the anti-codon, which is responsible for specific mRNA codon recognition, and the 3' end, to which the tRNAs corresponding amino acid is attached (by aminoacyl-tRNA synthetases). tRNAs cope with the degeneracy of the genetic code in two manners: having more than one tRNA (with a specific anti-codon) for a particular amino acid; and 'wobble' base-pairing, i.e. permitting non-standard base-pairing at the 3rd anti-codon position. The record is from Rfam by way of RNAcentral. RNAcentral also lists the same sequence under 1 other name. Lineage: Eukaryota; Metazoa; Chordata; Mammalia; Rodentia; Sciuridae.